This 187-nucleotide ribosomal RNA is filed under the name uncultured Plesiomonas sp. Its description in RNAcentral is "partial 16S ribosomal RNA". It matches the Rfam family "Bacterial small subunit ribosomal RNA", at positions 349 to 529 of the family's 1533-position model. The record is from RNAcentral. Lineage: Bacteria; Pseudomonadati; Pseudomonadota; Gammaproteobacteria; Enterobacterales; Enterobacteriaceae.
UAGUGGUAGCAAUAUUGCACAAUGGGCGCAAGCCUGAUGCAGCCAUGCCGCGUGUGUGAAGAAGGCCUUCGGGUUGUAAAGCACUUUCAGCGGGGAGGAAGGGUCACUAGUUAAUACCUAGUGGCAUUGACGUUACUCGCAGAAGAAGCACCGGCUAACUCCGUGCCAGCAGCCGCGGUAAUUAAAA